Molecule: intron RNA, 203 nt
Organism: Gossypium raimondii (Peruvian cotton)
Lineage: Eukaryota; Viridiplantae; Streptophyta; Magnoliopsida; Malvales; Malvaceae
Rfam family: Group I catalytic intron
About the family: Group I catalytic introns are large self-splicing ribozymes. They catalyse their own excision from mRNA, tRNA and rRNA precursors in a wide range of organisms. The core secondary structure consists of 9 paired regions (P1-P9).
Source: Rfam
GGACUUAAUUGGAUUGAGCCUUAGUAUGGAAACCUACUAAGUGAUAACUUUCAAAUUCAGAGAAACCCUGGAAUGAAAAAUGGGGGCAAUCUUGAGCCAAAUCCUAUUAUUUUAUUAUUUUACGAAAAUAAACAUGAGCAAAGGUUUAGCAAGCGAGAAUAAUAAAAAAAUGAAAAGAUAGGUGCAGAGACUCAAUGGAAGCU